AGCUUUAUAUUCAAAAAAUGAUUUUAAAUUGCAAAUUUAAAGGUAAGUUUAACUUUAAGGCUU
RNAcentral lists this transfer RNA (63 nucleotides) under Podagrica sp. BMNH 848524. Its description in RNAcentral is "tRNA-Cys". The record is from RNAcentral. Lineage: Eukaryota; Metazoa; Arthropoda; Insecta; Coleoptera; Chrysomelidae.